GGCUGUCGUCAGCUCGUGUUGUGAAAUGUUGGGUUAAGUCCCGCAACGAGCGCAACCCUUAUCCUUUGUUGCCAGCGGUCCGGCCGGGAACUCAAAGGAGACUGCCAGUGAUAAACUGGAGGAAGGUGGGGAUGACGUCAAGUCAUCAUGGCCCUUACGACCAGGGCUACACACGUGCUACAAUGGCGCAUACAAAGAGAAGCGACCUCGCGAGAGCAAGCGGACCUCAUAAAGUGCGUCGUAGUCCGGAUUGGAGUCUGCAACUCGACUCCAUGAAGUCGGAAUCGCUAGUAAUCGUGGAUCAGAAUGCCACGGUGAAUACGUUCCCGGGCCUUGUACACACCGCCCGUCACACCAUGGGAGUGGGUUGCAAAAGAAGUAGGUAGCUUAACCUUCGGGAGGGCGCUUACCACUUUGUGAUUCAUGACUGGGGUGAAGUCGUAACAAGGUAACCGUAGGGGAACCUGC
This 468-nucleotide ribosomal RNA is filed under the name Salmonella enterica subsp. enterica serovar Minnesota. RNAcentral describes it as "partial 16S ribosomal RNA". It matches the Rfam family "Bacterial small subunit ribosomal RNA", at positions 1047 to 1515 of the family's 1533-position model. The record is from RNAcentral. Lineage: Bacteria; Pseudomonadati; Pseudomonadota; Gammaproteobacteria; Enterobacterales; Enterobacteriaceae. RNAcentral also lists the same sequence under 1 other name.